CUAGCUGUAAACGAUGUGAACUUGGCGUCGGCGGGUUCAAAUCCGUCGGUGCCGUAGCUAACGCGAUAAGUUCACCGCCUGGGGACUACGGCCGCAAGGUUAAAACUCAAAGGAAUUGACGGGGGCCCGCACAAGCAGCGGAGCGUGUGGUUUAAUUCGAUGUUACACGAAGAACCUUACCAGGGUUUGACAUGUAGGUGGUAGUGAAGCGAAAGCGGAACGACUCUUCGGAGAGCCUGCACAGGUGC
RNAcentral lists this ribosomal RNA (248 nucleotides) under uncultured Longilinea sp. RNAcentral describes it as "partial 16S ribosomal RNA". It matches the Rfam family "Bacterial small subunit ribosomal RNA", at positions 796 to 1041 of the family's 1533-position model. The record is from RNAcentral. Lineage: Bacteria; Bacillati; Chloroflexota; Anaerolineae; Anaerolineales; Anaerolineaceae.